CCCCACUGCUAUCGGGAUGGGACUAAGACAUGCUAGUCGAGCGUCUCCAAGCUAUGGAAGAGACGCGGCACACAGCUCAGUAACACGUGGCUAACCUGCCCUUGGGACAAGGACAACUCCGGGAAACUGGGGCUAAUCCCUGAUAAGUGAGAACUCCUGGAAUGGAUUCUCGCUCAAAGGACGUUUAGACCAUGCUUCUAAGCGUCGCCCAAGGAGGGGGCCGCGACCGAUCAGGUUGUUGGUGAGGUAACGGCUCACCAAGCCUUUAACCGGUACGGGCCGUGAGAGCGGAAGCCCGGAGAUGGGCACUGAGACAAGGGCCCAGGCCCUACGGGGCGCAGCAGUCGCGAAAACUCCGCAAUACACGAAAGUGUGACGGGGCCAUCCCGAGUGCCAUCCGCUGAGGAUGGCUUUUCCCCAGUGUAUAAAGCUGGGGGAAUAAGGAGAGGGCAAGCCUGGUGUCAGCCGCCGCGGUAAUACCAGCUCUCCGAGUGGUGGGGAUGUUUAUUGGGCCUAAAGCAUUCGUAGCCUGCUUGGCAAGUCCUCCGUUAAAUCCAACGAUUCAAUCGUUGGGCUGCGGGGGAUACUGUCCGGCUAGGGGGCGGGGGAGGCCGACGGUAUCCUCGGGGUAGGGGUGAAAUCCUAUAAUCCCGGGAGGACCACCAGUGGCGAAGGCUGUCGGCUAGAACGCGCUCGACGGUGAGGGAUGAAAGCUGGGGGAGCGAACCGGAUUAGAUACCCGGGUAGUCCCAGCUGUAAACGAUGCAGGCUAGGUGUUGGCGCGGCUACGUGCCGCUCCAGUGCCGCAGGGAAGCCGUUAAGCCUGCCGCCUGGGAAGUACGGCCGCAAGGCUGAAACUUAAAGGAAUUGGCGGGGGAGCACCACAAGGUGUGAAGCUUGCGGUUU
This 906-nucleotide ribosomal RNA is filed under the name uncultured archaeon. RNAcentral's name for it is "bacterial SSU rRNA". It matches the Rfam family "Archaeal small subunit ribosomal RNA", at positions 21 to 903 of the family's 1478-position model. The record is from RNAcentral.